Molecule: ribosomal RNA, 924 nt
Filed under: uncultured Bacteroidota bacterium
Lineage: Bacteria; Pseudomonadati; Bacteroidota
Description: bacterial SSU rRNA
Rfam family: Bacterial small subunit ribosomal RNA
Source: RNAcentral
GGAUCCAGACUUUGAUCCUGGCUCAGGAUGAACGCUAGCUACAGGCUUAACACAUGCAAGUCGAGGGGAAACGACAUCGAAAGCUUGCUUUUGAUGGGCGUCGACCGGCGCACGGGUGAGUAACGCGUAUCCAACCUGCCCAUCACUUGGGAAUAACCUUGCGAAAGUAAGACUAAUACCCAAUGAUAUCCCACGAAGGCAUCCGAAUGGGAUUAAAGAUUUAUCGGUGAUGGAUGGGGAUGCGUCUGAUUAGCUUGUUGGCGGGGUAACGGCCCACCAAGGCAACGAUCAGUAGGGGUUCUGAGAGGAAGGUCCCCCACAUUGGAACUGAGACACGGUCCAAACUCCUACGGGAGGCAGCAGUGAGGAAUAUUGGUCAAUGGGCGAGAGCCUGAACCAGCCAAGUAGCGUGCAGGAUGACGGCCCUAUGGGUUGUAAACUGCUUUUAUAAGGGAAUAAAGUGGGUCACGUGUGACUUUUUGCAAGUACCUUAUGAAUAAGGACCGGCUAAUUCCGUGCCAGCAGCCGCGGUAAUACGGAAGGUCCGGGCGUUAUCCGGAUUUAUUGGGUCUAAAGGGAGCGUAGGCCGGAGAUUAAGCGUGUUGUGAAAUGUAGAGGCUCAACCUCUGCACUGCAGCGCGAACUGGUCUUCUUGAGUACGCACAACGUGGGCGGAAUUCGUGGUGUAGCGGUGAAAUGCUUAGAUAUCACGAAGAACUCCGAUUGCGAAGGCAGCACACGGGAGCGCAACUGACGCUGAAGCUCGAAAGUGCGGGUAUCGAACAGGAUUAGAUACCCUGGUAGUCCGCACGGUAAACGAUGGAUGCCCGCUGUUGGCCUGAAUAGGUCAGCGGCCAAGCGAAAGCAUUAAGCAUCCCACCUGGGGAGUACGCCGGCAACGGUGCAACUCAAAGGAAUUGACGG